GCGCGUUGAUGAAGAAACAUAUCCCUUAAACAUUCGCAGUGUUUUGCUGAUAGCGGUCGGGUUGCCACCUGACUUGCUGCUUGAGGCUCCAAUUUUCCUUGGAUGUCUGAGCGC
RNAcentral lists this small nucleolar RNA (114 nucleotides) under Phytophthora ramorum (sudden oak death agent). RNAcentral's name for it is "small nucleolar RNA SNORD14". The record is from RNAcentral. Lineage: Eukaryota; Oomycota; Peronosporomycetes; Peronosporales; Peronosporaceae.